CACAAUCAUGAUCAAUGCCUCCGGGACUAUGAAAACGCCAUCAUGAAUGUUAACAUUAUUCUCUUGGGUGAGCGGAGCUUUGGAGAGGAAAAAAAGGAAAGUCUAAACUGACAAACUUCUGAAAACACUCGGGUCUGGCAGGAGUUCUCUUCUCUCCCCGAGAGCAGAAUUGGGGUUGAGCGGCACUUGGUAGGCGUGGAGCGCGCUUCAGUCUCGGGCCACUACCCCAGGCGUUUUCUCAUCUGACACUCACAGCAGCCCUCAGGUGGCUUUGCAGUGCGUUCCCGCCCUCCCCCGCCAAGAGUGGGUGCAGAAUUUUUCCCUGCUCCGCGUCAAUGCUGGGUGUGGCCAUGAGCCCUGAAAUUACACAUGGAGCCCAGCCUCUGCUGAUCUGUACCCAUCAAGAAGAAAAAAUGUUGAUCUUUGUUGCUCUUCUCCUCUCUGCCUCCAUGAUCCGGAACCUUCAGCUGGUCAACUGAGCUACACCUGGUGCUGUGGUGCUUCCCCAAGCUGCACACGCCGAUGGCAGUGAGGAAUGACUGCGCCCAUUGUAUCACCUUCUCGCUGUCAGUGAGCCAGUGAGCACCUGCGGCUGCUUCAAGGGGAACUACAAUAAAACUUCCAAGACAGUCCACUUCUUAGGAGGUAUAAGCAAAGAGCAAACACAACCUGUCAAUCAUGCCGAAUGCUGCUGAUGCUGUUUUCUCAUCCUAAAACAGACGAUGAAAAUGCUAAGCUCUGUAAAGAAGGACUUAGUCAUAUUCAAAAUUCUCCAAUAAACACCUCACUGUUGUG
Gorilla gorilla gorilla (western lowland gorilla) is the source of this 795-nucleotide long non-coding RNA. RefSeq lists it as uncharacterized. The record is from RefSeq and is a predicted model, not a curated record. The transcript is spliced from 3 exons. NCBI's taxonomy places the organism in Eukaryota, Metazoa, Chordata, Mammalia, Primates, Hominidae.